Molecule: ribosomal RNA, 392 nt
Filed under: uncultured Glomeromycotina
Lineage: Eukaryota; Fungi; Glomeromycota
Description: SSU rRNA
Rfam family: Eukaryotic small subunit ribosomal RNA
Source: RNAcentral
UUCUCCCUUCUGAUGAACCAUGAUGUCAUUAAUUUGGUGUCGUGGGGAGUCAGGACUGUUACUUUGAAAAAAUUAGAGUGUUUAAAGCAGGCAAACGCUUGAAUACAUUAGCAUGGAAUAAUGAAAUAGGACGUUCGAACCUAUUUUGUUGGUUUCUAGGUACAACGUAAUGAUUAAUAGGGAUAGUUGGGGGCAUUAGUAUUCAAUUGUCAGAGGUGAAAUUCUUGGAUUUAUUGAAGACUAACUACUGCGAAAGCAUUUGCCAAGGAUGUUUUCAUUAAUCAAGAACGAAAGUUAGGAGAUCGAAGACGAUCAGAUACCGUCGUAGUCUUAACCAUAAACUAUGCCGACUAGGGAUCGGAUGAAGUUAAUUUUUUAAUGACUCAUUCGGC